GAGCAAGGUGCUGCCCAAGGCAGAAGGAGAAGUGUCCCAGUGGCUGAGGAAGGAGCAGCUGUGAGCAGAAUGGCAUGAUGAUGGGCUUUGAUGAGUCUCUCAGACUACAAAGGAAUCUGGAAGGAUUUGAUAGCUGAGUCUUUUCUUGUCGCAAGAACAAAGGGCUGUCUGAGGAACAUGGACUCUCAGUGCCAGGGACAGCUGUGGGACCAGGAUCUCACCCAAGACCUAUAGAAAACACCUACAGAAUUAAGGGCACAGCAUCCAGGGCAGGCAGAGGAGCCUGGCCAUGCCGCGCAUGGGCAUCGUUCUCGCUACCUGCACGCGUCCCAGCUGCUGCAGCUGAAGGAUUUGUUGCCCGAUAGCUGAAAUUCUACAGCAGUGCAAUAUUUGGUCCUUUUGGCUUCACUCCCUUACCUUGCGUUUGCCAUCCAACAGUUGUCUUUGAGGGAUGGAAGAGAAAUGUCAAACCAUUUAGUGUGUGCUUGCUUCCCCUCUGUGGACACGUAACAGUCCCAAAUUAAGUUAUUGCUCAUGCAAAGCAUCUUCUAAUAUAUUCAACCCAUACAUAUUCUGUGUAUAUCCCCAUGUAUGUUAGUUACGUGCUCUAAUAUAUUUAGCUCUUCAACAUUAUCAUCUUGGGUAAUUCAUUUAAAAUAUUUGCAGCUAUUUAAAGGACUUUUGUCCCAUAAGAUUUGGUUCUUAGUGCAACAAAGGUCAUUUUGUCCAGUAAAUUAGUGAAUCUGUACCAUCAGCAGUUUGCCUCGGUGAUUUCAAAUAUUCUGUUGCACCAUUAAUGCAUUUACCAACAAUAAAAUCAAUUAGAAUAAUUUUACCUCUGAUGGGGUUUGACCUACAGUGAAGCCCCUUAAAUGAACAAAUUAAUUUUAAUUAAUUUUAAAACUACUCAGGUACCUCUUUGGUUAAAUUGUUUUAUUUGUCUUUAAUUUUCUGUUGUCGUCUGAGUAGAAGCACAAAUUUUCAGCAAGAAAUCAGACUCUUGCAGCCUUUGAGGCUUUAGAACUGCACCAAAAGUGUUUUCGAUACUGGCAACAAACUGAAGAGUCAUUAUUUUUGUCUUGUCUUGCCCAUCUAAUAAACAAGUGGCAAUGCAGCAGGCAUCUGCAAAAGUGAAGCUCCUCUCAUUCUCACUGCAUAAGGCUACAGGGCAAUCAGUGACAUUAAGGGACGUGUAGUUCCAGAUCCGUGAAAGGAAACUCCUUGCUGGGGAAAUCACGGCCAUGGUGAUUUCUUGUAGCAGGCAAAAUCACUCAGAAGGCAGUCAGGAAAUGGAGCUCAGGGACCAGUAAAUUAUGUGAAGGCAGGGCAAUGAGCAAGCAAGCCAUGCUGGUGUGCCUUUGGGUGUCUGCUCCUGCAGGGAACACGCGUCUGCACCUCUUGUGCCCCCUGACACUGGUUUCUUCUCACUGAGCAGGUGUCCACAUUGAGGAGAUGAUGAAGACUGUAAGCAAAGGGGAAAUAUGGAGACCAAACCUGUCCUCCCAUUCAAGCCUCACCUGAAACCGCUGGUAGGAAUGACCAAACGCAGUGGUGUGUGAAUGAGGCACCUCUGGAUGGCUCCGUGUCUCCUUCAGCAACUUCUGAAUGAACUUCAGCAACAACAGAAUGAUCGUGGGCUUCAGGUCUGCUGCUGUGAGGAUCUCCAGGAGCUGAAGCUGCAGCAAAUGGCAGCUUCACCCUAAAGAGCACAAAAUGGGGAAGAUCAGGCAGGUGAGGCUGGAUGUCUGCAGCCCACGUGUGGGCUGUGAUGGUGGGAGCAAACCUGGUUUGCCUGCAGCUGAAGCUGUUGUGGCUGCUGGAACUUCAAGAGCUCCAUGAGUUUGCCCUGCUGAGCUCCCACCUCGGCGAGCACCAACUGCUUCCUUGGCCUGGAAGGGCUGUCGUCUCUGUGUGAUUUUGGGGCAGGUGAGCACAUCUCCAGCCUUUCCACCUUGCAUGCAGCCUGGAAUACACCCAGGUGCAUGCCAGUGGGGGAUAAUUUAUUAGGGCCAGCCAAGAGCAUUACACAUCCCAUUAAGUCAGCUGUGACUUUGCAAGCCAAGUGCCCAUUCAGGGUGUACUGUGUAUCCUCAGACCAGUAUUGAUCCUAAAAUUUCUGGUGGCUUAUUAAUGAAAGCAACACUGUGGCCAGAUCCUUCUGACUUGUGUAAAGCUGAAGAAGCCUUACUGCUGCCAGCACAGCUGCUGGAGAUGAAGCUGGAGUAAAGGGAGCAGAAUCUGCCCUACUCCUUCCAACCACUACACGUGGGUUAAGCAGGAACUACGGGAAGAAGUGAAUGCUUUUGCCAACAAAAUGUUGUCUCUCUUCAGCCAUGACCACCUUUGGAGUUAAUCCUGAUCCUUCGGAGAACGAGCCAAAAACCCCUCUGAGGACAGCACUGGGCCUAUGUUUUGCCAGGGUUCUUCAAAAUCCUCCAUUUUACAACAGAAGUCCUCAGCUGCCAUCACUGCAUGGAGUUUAUUAAUAAGGCUCUUGGCUUUAAAUACUCUCUCCAUCAGGCAACAGGUUAAGACCUCGAAAAUGCCGGGCCCCGCGUGCUCUGUCUGGCUCUGGGAAGGAUGUCUGCAGCCCUCGACAGCUCCGAGCCUCCGCGCAGCCUCUGCCCGCCAAAGGACAGGAGCCGGUGCUCGCAGACAGCUGGCGGGGGAACGGCUUUGAAGACGGAUUUGUUAGUCAUGGCAGCAGCAUCCCCUGACACGGAGCUGGAGGGAAGGCACGGGGGAAAGUUUAUUGACUGGGCAGCUUCUGCCGUUGGGAGAGGGUCAAGAGGCGCCGGUGGCUCUCGAGGCUUGGCCUCUCCUCCCGCAUCCCGUUUUAGGAGAGCUCCUUUUGUUCCUGCAGAGGUCAUUUUCCUGAGCGAGAUAAUUUAUGAGUGGAAGAUGGUUCGCUCAAGGAGAACUACACCAACUCACAUACAAAUCUUCCCUUCCCACAGUAAUUUAUGAUUUGUCCUAAUUAGCUGGUAUAAACGUGUGGAAACUCCAAGUGCAAUCUCUUCUUUGCAUGGUUCACGUUCGCUUUGCAGGCUGUGUCCUGCUUGUCAGAGGCAUUGUUUGUUCAAUAAUAAAAUUGCCACAUACUGUUAAUCACAACCUGCAAACAUCUAAUAAAACAACCAUUGAAAGUGUGUAUGUAAAACCAUCUCUUCACUAGCCCCAUUAGGCUCGGCUCUUUCUUCUUUGAAAGCUGCAUGACCUCCCUUUUCAAUCAA
This is a long non-coding RNA of Cygnus olor (mute swan), 3233 nucleotides long. RefSeq lists it as uncharacterized. The record is from RefSeq and is a predicted model, not a curated record. The transcript has 6 exons. Lineage: Eukaryota; Metazoa; Chordata; Aves; Anseriformes; Anatidae.